RNAcentral lists this ribosomal RNA (433 nucleotides) under uncultured bacterium. Its description in RNAcentral is "partial 16S ribosomal RNA". It matches the Rfam family "Bacterial small subunit ribosomal RNA", at positions 29 to 507 of the family's 1533-position model. The record is from RNAcentral.
AACGAACGCUGGCGGCAUGCCUAACACAUGCCAGUCGAACGAGACCUUCGGGUCUAGUGGCGCACGGGUGCGUAACGCGUGGGAACCCGCCCUUAGGUUCGGAAUAACUCCCCGAAAGGGGUGCUAAUACCGGAUAAUGUCUUCGGACCAAAGAUUUAUCGCCUUUGGAUGGGCCCGCGUUGGAUUAGCUAGUUGGUAGGGUAAAAGCCUACCAAGGCGACGAUCCAUAGCUGGUCUGAGAGGAUGAUCAGCCACACUGGGACUGAGACACGGCCCAGACUCCUACGGGAGGCAGCAGUGGGGAAUAUUGGACAAUGGGCGAAAGCCUGAUCCAGCAAUGCCGCGUGAGUGAUGAAGGCCUUAGGGUUGUAAAGCUCUUUUACCCGGGAUGAUAAUGACAGUACCGGGAGAAUAAGCUCCGGCUAACUCCGUG